CUUCUAACUUCGUUUGAUUUUGAAUCAUACGAGACAUGUGAGGCUUGCUUGCUAGGCAAGAUGACCAAGACGCCUUUCACAGGAUUUCCUGAGAGAGCAGUAGUGUGACGAUCGACCCCUAAUCUUCCAAGUUAAUCUUAAUCGGAGCCCUUGAUCAUAGUCAUUUGUCUUGUUUUACCGCGCCUGAGUGCUCAGCCUUCAGCCCGAUCCCGACCCUUGAGACCCGACCCCUCCCCGCUUCGCUCCGAUCCCGACCCCGGCGAGCUCAGCCCACCGUCGG
This 280-nucleotide long non-coding RNA is filed under the name Setaria viridis. RNAcentral's name for it is "long non-coding RNA (SVIR_LNC006781)". Lineage: Eukaryota; Viridiplantae; Streptophyta; Magnoliopsida; Poales; Poaceae. The record is from RNAcentral.